AACAGCUUCGUCACUGACAGUCAACUCCACUUCCCUGGGACCCUGAAAUCUGCUGCAAAACUUGUAUCAUUUUACUUCACUGUCUCCACUGGGGCUUGAAGCAUUUUAAGGUAUGAUGUGACUUGCUCCUCCUUGCCUUCCACCAUGAUUGUGAGGCUUCAACAGCAACGUGGAACUGCUCAUAGGCGGAAGGGACUUGCCUUGUCUCGGAUUACACAUUGGACUGUGGACUUUUGAGUUAACGCUGAGAAGAGUUAAGACUUUGAGGGACUGUUGUGAAGGCAUGAUUGGUUUUGAAAUGUAAGUACAUGUGAUUUGGGAGGGGUUGGGGCAGAGUGAUAUGGUUUGGCUGUGACCCCACCCAAAUCUCAUC
Molecule: long non-coding RNA, 373 nt
Filed under: Homo sapiens (human)
Lineage: Eukaryota; Metazoa; Chordata; Mammalia; Primates; Hominidae
Description: non-protein coding lnc-MTRNR2L1-18:1
Source: RNAcentral